CUACAACCAUGAAUACGGACAAUCUGGACAUGAUGGUGGCAGGGGUUCGGUAGCAAGAACAGGAGGAGGGUCUGAAAAGUGAGCACAAUUACUAAUCAUUUUUACAGUUGUUGAUUUAGAUUCUGAUUCAUACUCUAAAAUAGGAGGGUUAAAAUUCUGUAUUCAACGCUACAAAUAGACUCUACAAGAUGACAGUGAGACCGUGCGCAGAAAGCUGAAUGUGCAAGAUCGACAUCUUUGCUAGUAAAAAAUGUAGCAUUUUCUUUUUGCAGAAACUACAUCUUUGUAGCACAAGUCCAAAUAAACAACCUAUCACAGGAGCAACAACACAACGCCCACUAUAGUCAAGAAUUACGCACCUGAACCGAAGCAUAGGCUAAAGAUAAAUUCGGAACAUAGGUAUUCUUAUAUAUAGAUGUAUGCCGCUACUCUAAAAUGCAAAGUCACUGUCACCGCAUCCCAAAUUGCAACACCAAUCCCUUAACUUCAAAUCUACUACAUCAAUUAAUCAUAGGAAAUACACAGGUCAUUAUGAUACCCCUAGGAAAAGGCGCUCUUGGAGGCAGGCAGCUUGCUCCAGACGCCCUCGUUAUGAGCAUAAUUGAUUAACUAUCAAAUGAGCAUCCACUCAAAUUAUCUAAAGGCAGAUUAUUCUUUGUGGUGGUCUGCACGCUAUAAAUUUUCAAGUAAUGGUACUUUCUUAUACAUGUUAUACAUGAAAUUAUCUAAAGGGAAACUCAGUAUUUUUCAGGCUAGCAUUGAAACGGAGGAGCUACCCACUUUCUGUCUUAUAUAGGUUAUACAUGAAAUAAAAUGAAGUAUACAUGGUGUGUAAAUGAUUACUGAAUUGCUCCUCGCUAUCCAGAUAAAUUGAUUUCAACCGCCCAAUCACAGCAGAGAGCACGAACACUGAGCCUCAAAACAUUCAAAACAAACCAAAUUAGGUAACCGAAAGAGUACAAACCUUAUGCAAAGUGCUUGUGCAGCCAGACCAAGAGGACGAACCGAGGAGGUAGGAGAUGAAGGGUAUGUGCAGAAUAGAAUGCAUGCAUCAAUGGAGGAAGCUCCAAAGGCACCAAACCAUCCACAAAGCUAUCUUACACCUAUUAGUGAGUGCCAGCAAUUAGUAUUCAUUCCUAUAACAGACUAAAAACCAUCAUGCACUUAAGGUGCCUUGAGAUUUGAUAGGUUUUCCUAUAAAUAAGUAACAAAUGGGAGAAAUGUAAUAACUAAGAAACGAUGACGUAGAAUGUACCUUGUUGCCGGCUAAGAAAAUCGAAGCUCUGAUUGAAGCACAUAGUACAAAAGACCAUCCAUAAUAACUUUUCUCCAUCGAAGCUCUGCAAGCAAACAAUACAAUAGCUUUUGUUCAAAAAACCAGGAGAAACCGAAAGCAAAUGAUUCAGUACCACAACUACUUUAUUAAGC
This 1428-nucleotide long non-coding RNA is filed under the name Triticum aestivum (bread wheat). RNAcentral describes it as "long non-coding RNA (TAES_LNC003118)". Lineage: Eukaryota; Viridiplantae; Streptophyta; Magnoliopsida; Poales; Poaceae. The record is from RNAcentral.